UUUUCCUCCGGAAGUGUGGCACCCAGAGGCGGUCCUGUAGCUGGGCCGGCUUGGGGCUUGGUUCUAUGUCCCUGUGGGUUGGUGCAAGGGCCAGGAGGAACCCGUGAGCCUCAGGGGAUCCCAGGGGGCCGGACCAGUGUUCCCUAGUUGUGGGAACAGACGCGUGGGCGCAUCGCGGGAGGGCAGGGCCUGAAGAGCAGCUAUGUUUCCAGUGUCCUCUGGGUGUUUCCAAGAGCAACAAGAAACGAAUAAAUCUCUGACGGAGAUUCACUCUUGUUGCCCAGGCUGGAGUGCAAUGGCACAAUUUCGGCUCUCCACAAUCUCUGCCUCCCAGAUUCAAGCUAUUCUCCUGCCUCUGUCUCCCGAGGAGCUGGGAUUACAGGUAAGCGCCACCAUGCCCUGCUAAUUAUGUACUUUUAGUAGAGAUGGGGGUUUCUCCAUGCUGGUCAGGUUGGUCUCAAACUCCUGACCCCAGGUGAUCUGCCCGUCUUGGCCUCUCAAAGUGCUGGGAUUACAGGUGUGAGCCACUGUGUCCGGCCCUUAAAUUCUAUUUCUUAAAAAGAGUCCGUUCAAGAUUGAUGUUAUAGAUACUCCUCAACUUACAAUUGUUUUAUGUCUUAAUGAACUCAUCCUAAAUUGAAAAUAUUGUAAGUCUAAAACGCAUUUAAUAUAUUUAACCUACUGAAUAUCAUGACUUAGCCUCGCCUACCUUAAACUUGCUCAGAACACUUACAUUAUCCUACAAUUGGGCAAAAUCAUCUACCACAAGGCCCAUUUUAAAAUAUUGAGUUUCUCAUGAAAUUUAUUGAAAACUAUACUGAUAGUGAAAAACUGGUCAUAUUGAUGCUCAUCAUUAACGUACACAGAUGAAAGCACCAUUAUCAAGUAAGAAGAGCACAAGUCAAACCACUGUAAGUUGAGGACUCUCUGUACUUUCUUAAAUGUUUGAUAGAAUUCACCUGAGAAAGCAUGUAGCCUGUAAUUAUAGAAAUCUUUUUAAAUUAAAAAAAUUCUUCAAUACAUAGAGAAGCUAUUACUUUUUCUAUUUCAUUUUGCAUUAGUUUUAAGAAUUAGUUUUACAAAUAAUUUCCCAUGUUAUUUUAAUUGUCAAAUGUAUUGGCCUAAAGUUUUCAUAAUUAUAUUGAUGUCUGUAGGUUCUGUAGUUACAUCCUCUAUUUAAUUCCCAUUAUCUACAUUAUGUAGCUUCUCUAAUUUUUUUCGAGAUAAAUCUUGCUAGCCAUUGUUUAUUAAAAAAAUUUUUUUCAAAGAACCAAUUUGUGGGUAUAUUAAUUAGCUCCACCUUUUGUUAUUUGCUAUGUUGUUGGUUUACAUUUUUAUCUUUAUCAUCUUCCUUCUUCUUAAUUUGGAUAUACUUUGCUUAUUUUUUAGCCUCUUAAAAAAGAACUUAAAGGUCAUUGAUUGAAGCCUUUUAUUUUCAAUAUAUUACAUCUAUAAAUGUACCUUUAAGAAACGAUUUAUCUGCAUCCCACAUUUUAUUAAGUUUUUAAAAAAUUUUAUUUCAGUUUAAACUAUUUUUUUUGUGUGUGAAACUUUUCUUGGCCAAUGGGUUUUUCUGAAGUAUUUUGUUUAAUGUUCAAAUGUUGGGGUGUUAUUGUACAUAUCCUACUGUUGUCCAUCUCUGGUUCAUGAUACAAUGCAUGUUCUCCAUUGCACUUAGAUAACAUGCCUCCAUGUCUCUGGAGAAUUCCUCAGUCUUUCUAAAAUGCUUUUGAUGAAUACUGGCCGUUAUUUUGUAGAAUGUCCUGCCUCAAUUUCAGUUAGUCUGAUGUUUUCUCACGGUUAGGACUAAAGUUAUACAUUUUGUCUAAGAAUACCAUAGAAUUGAUGUUUUGUCCUACUCAGUGCAUCAUAUAAGAAAUUACAUGAAGUUCAUUUAUCUUAUUAUUAGUAAUGUUAACUAUGAUCACUUGGCUAAGUUGACAUCUCCACUUUGAAGUUACUAUUCUAUAAUUAUCUUGUGGGAAGAUACUUUCAUAUUAUGCAAAUAUGUUCUUUCCCAACAUAUAUUCACCACUAAUCUUAGCAUUCCUCCAAGGUUCUUUCUUGCAACAAUUAUUACUAUGAUAUUUGCAAAGUGAUGAUUCUUAUAUUUUAUGUCUCCUACAUUUAAUGAAAUCUUACUGUAAUAAAAUACUACCCACUCUCAAUCUUUGGUUUAUUAUUUAUGUCAAUAUGGAUUUUUUUUUUGAGUUGGAGUCUUGUUUUGUCAUCCAGGCUGGUGUGCAAUGGUGCGAUUUCCGCUCACUGCACUUCCACCUUCCGGGAUUCAAGCCAUUCUCCUGCCUCAGCCUCCGGAGUAGCUGGGACUACAGUCAUGUGCCACCAUGCCCGGCUAAUUUUUGUAUUUUCAGUAGAGGCAGGGAUUCACCACAUUGGUCAGGCUGGUCUUGAACUCCUGACCUCAAGUGAUCUGCCCGCCUCUGCCUCCCAAAGGGCUGGGAAUACAGGCAUGAGCAACUGCACCUGGCCUGGAUUAAUUGAAAAUUUUCUCCUGUAGAUUGUAAUAUAUUAUUAUUGUUAUCUAUUUUAUUGCCCCAAUUUUCUCAAAUUUGGCUAUGGAAGUUUAUUCAAAGUGGAUCUGUUUCCCUUUCACAUUUUCCCCAUUUUGUGAGCAUUUCCUUACUUCCUAACAUGACAAAAUAUUUCAAACUAAUCUUGUAUUUUCCCUGCCCAAUCCUGAUAUCAAAUAUGUCCCCAAGGAGCCUUGGUUCCUUUAAUUGGAGAAUGGUGUUCUCAUUGUUACUGGGAUGAUGUUGUUUCUAGGCCCUUUUGUUAGAGGAGCUAGAAAAUAUAUGUAUGUAUACUCACACAUUUAUACACAUCUGUACUUAUUUAUACAAUUAUCCAUCUGUACGUAUACUAAAAACAAUGAUUUCAUGAAACUUUUGAUCCCAAUCCAACACUAGAUAAAGACUAUAUAGGCCCAUUUAUUUGCAAAUCAGCACAUAAACAUAGAAGAAUUAUUAACAAUAUAAGCUGUAGCUUAUGCUAAAUGUUGGUUGGAACAGACAAUAAGUUAUGGAGAACUUCAGAGGACACUAAGGUUGGAUGGGAUUUUGGAAGUUGUACAGGUCAAUGCCACUCCAUCUAUUGGCGAGUUUCACUAGGUUAAUACAUGAACAACAACAAAAAUAACCUAGAUCAGAAGUUAAAGGUCAUUUUAUUGACUAUCUGCCGUGUCUGUGCCAUUGCAGUGUACUAGGUGCACUUACGAGUCCUCUACUUACAAACUGCUUUUCACAAAAUAUGAAACUCCAGGCAAAGGUUCAGACAUAUGACGUUUGUUUUUAAAAUCUUUCUACAGCCUUGUAUCCUUUUUCCUUUCCUUCCUUUUACCCUUUUUAAAAUGUGUUAUGAGUUUUAUCUUAGACUAACAUCAUCUGUAAUGUUGCUAUACGCCAGUAUUCAGUUGCUGUGUUUGAUGAAUCAUAAAAUGGUGUAAAACUUCAAUUAAUGUACUUUUUAAAUAAAGUAUCUAUGAAUGCAUCCAGCAAAAUGUUUAUGAUUUGAGUAUUCACACAAUAUUACUUUUCUCUGGAUCUAACAAUAAUGUGAAAACGCAAAAUGAAUAUAAAAUAUUAGCUAAUAAUAGAUUUCAAAGUAUUGUACAAGUAUGAAAAAUAUAUGAUAUUGUUACUUUCAUAUAUGUAAAACAUUAAUAAUUUUUGUCAACAUAAACAUCAUCUUUAC
RNAcentral lists this long non-coding RNA (3711 nucleotides) under Homo sapiens (human). RNAcentral's name for it is "HSALNT0072085". The record is from RNAcentral. Lineage: Eukaryota; Metazoa; Chordata; Mammalia; Primates; Hominidae.